Molecule: ribosomal RNA, 540 nt
Filed under: Pseudarthrobacter phenanthrenivorans Sphe3
Lineage: Bacteria; Bacillati; Actinomycetota; Actinomycetes; Micrococcales; Micrococcaceae
Description: bacterial SSU rRNA
Rfam family: Bacterial small subunit ribosomal RNA
Source: RNAcentral
AUGCAUGGGCGCAGCCUGAUGCAGCGACGCCGCGUGAGGGAUGACGGCCUUCGGGUUGUAAACCUCUUUCAGUAGGGAAGAAGCGAAAGUGACGGUACCUGCAGAAGAAGCGCCGGCUAACUACGUGCCAGCAGCCGCGGUAAUACGUAGGGCGCAAGCGUUAUCCGGAAUUAUUGGGCGUAAAGAGCUCGUAGGCGGUUUGUCGCGUCUGCCGUGAAAGUCCGGGGCUCAACUCCGGAUCUGCGGUGGGUACGGGCAGACUAGAGUGAUGUAGGGGAGACUGGAAUUCCUGGUGUAGCGGUGAAAUGCGCAAAUAUCAGGAGGAACACCGAUGGCGAAGGCAGGUCUCUGGGCAUUAACUGACGCUGAGGAGCGAAAGCAUGGGGAGCGAACAGGAUUAGAUACCCUGGUAGUCCAUGCCGUAAACGUUGGGCACUAGGUGUGGGGGACAUUCCACGUUUUCCGCGCCGUAGCUAACGCAUUAAGUGCCCCGCCUGGGGAGUACGGCCGCAAGGCUAAAACUCAAAUGAAUUUGACGGA